Molecule: ribosomal RNA, 645 nt
Filed under: Rhodosporidiobolus ruineniae
Lineage: Eukaryota; Fungi; Basidiomycota; Microbotryomycetes; Sporidiobolales; Sporidiobolaceae
Description: eukaryotic LSU rRNA
Rfam family: Eukaryotic large subunit ribosomal RNA
Source: RNAcentral
GAGCCGGGUUUGAACUAGGAAGCUCCUAAUCUAGCUUAGUCUACUUUUAGAUUAGAUCUCAAAUCAGGUAGGAUUACCCGCUGAACUUAAGCAUAUCAAUAAGCGGAGGAAAAGAAACUAACAAGGAUUCCCCUAGUAGCGGCGAGCGAAGCGGGAAGAGCUCAAAUUUAUAAUCUGGCGCUUUCGGCGUCCGAGUUGUAAUCUCUAGAAGUGUUUUCCGCGUUGGACCGCACAUAAGUCUGUUGGAAUACAGCGGCACAGUGGUGAGACCCCCGUUCACGGUGCGGAUGCCCAAUGCUUUGUGAUACACUUUCGAAGAGUCGAGUUGUUUGGGAAUGCAGCUCAAAUUGGGUGGUAAAUUCCAUCUAAAGCUAAAUAUUGGCGAGAGACCGAUAGCGAACAAGUACCGUGAGGGAAAGAUGAAAAGCACUUUGGAAAGAGAGUUAACAGUACGUGAAAUUGUUGGAAGGGAAACGCUUGAAGUCAGACUUGCUAUUCGGGGCUUGCUCCGAGUUGCAGGCCAGCAUCAGUUUUUCGGGGCGGAAAAUCACGGAUUGAAGGUAGCAGUUUCGGCUGUGUUAUAGCUUUCCGUUGGAUACGUCCUGGGGGACUGAGGAACGCAGUGUGCUUUUAGCGAGGGCUUCG